Lemur catta (Ring-tailed lemur) is the source of this 1962-nucleotide long non-coding RNA. RefSeq lists it as uncharacterized. The record is from RefSeq and is a predicted model, not a curated record. Lineage: Eukaryota; Metazoa; Chordata; Mammalia; Primates; Lemuridae. The transcript has 3 exons.
GAAGAAAUACAGAUGGCAAGUAAGCAUUUGAAAAAAUGCUCCACAUCAUGGCAUUGGGGCAAUGCAAAUUAAAAAAACGAGACACCACUACAUGCCUAUCAGAAUGAUUAGAAUCCUGAACAUUGACAACACCAAAUGCUGGGGAAGAAGUGGAGGAACAGGAACCCUUGUUCAUUGCUGGUGGGAAGGCAUGAUGGCACAGCCACUUUGGGUGGCAGUCUGGAGGAUUCCUACAAAAUUAAACAUACUCUUAUGUUUAGUUUUUGGGUAUUUACCCAAAAGAGUUAUAAAAACUGCACAUGGAUGUUCAUGGCAGCUUUAUUCAUAAUUGCCAGACCUUGGAAGAAACCAAGAUGUCCUUCAGCAGAAGGGAUAAAUAAACUGUGGUGCAUCCAGACAACAGAAUGUUAUUCAGAGCUAAAAACAAAUAAGCUAUCAAGCCAUGAAAAGACAGAGGAAAUUUAAAUGUGUACUACUCAGUGAGAGAAGCCAGUCUGAACAGAGUACAUGUAGUAUAAUUGCAACGAUAUGCCAGUCUGGGAAAGGCAAAGCUAUGGAGACACUAAAAAGAUCACUGGCUGCUGAGGGUGAAGGGGAAGGAAGGGAUGAACGGGCAGAGCACAGAGGAUUUUUGGGGCAGUGAAACUACUCUACAUGAUACUGUAACGGUGGACACAUGUCAUUCUAUAUUUGGCCAAAUCCACAGAAGGUCCAACAUCAAGAGUGAACCCUAACGUGGACUGUGGGAUCUGGGUGAGAAUGACAUGUCGACGUAAGUUCAUUGAUGGUAACUAAUGCAGCACUCCGGUGGGGGAUGUUGAUCCUGGGGGAGGCUGUGCAUGUGUGGGGAUGGGGGUGAUGGGAAAUCUCUGUACCUCAUGCUGGUGAAGAAGUGGAGCAACAGGAACUCCCAGGAACUCAACAGGAAUUUUGAUGUGAACCUAAAACUGCUCUAAAAAAUAAAGUCUAUCAAACAAACAAAAGACAACAAAACUCCAAGUGGAUCACAGAUCUAGAUGUACAAAAUGAAGCCAUACAGAUAUUGCAAAUAAACACGAGAAUUGGGAUGGGCUUUCUAACUAUGAUUCAAAAUACAGAUGUAACAUGUGGAAAGAUCGAUAAAUUUAAAAUUUCAAUAUUAAUAUCAAUAAAUUGAUAAAUUAAAAUUUUAGGUGCCGUCAACAUGGUAAAAAUGCCAUCAGCAAAGUCAAAAGACAAGUAACAAACUUGGAGAAGUUUUUGCAAUCUAUUUCAUGGGAAAAGGGCUAAUCAUCCCACUAAAUAACUCUUAAAAUUCAAGAAAGAAGGACCAAAGACCUGAUAGAAAAAUAAACAAGAAUAGAUGAGCAGACAGUACUGAGAAAAGAAGUUUCUGGACCUAAAGUCCCUUGAUUGAAAGAGAGGUCGUGUCCCCAGGAGGAAGAGCUCUGCAACGUGACACAGCUGUAUGAAUCCAGAAUUGAGCAGUGAAUAGGAAUCAAGGUCAUCAGCUGAGAGUGGUCACCAGUUUGGAGGAGGUUUUGGAGGUUUGUGGGCAGAAGAGAAAGCAUGACUGAGUCAUUUAAGAGCACGGGAGAGGGUCUGCACCAGGCCUGCUGGGCAGCACAAGGACCCACUGAGGCCCGUGGUCGCGGAUCGAAAGUCAUGGAUUGGGUAUUGCCAAGUGAGCACAGUGAAGCAAGCAUGGGCAAGAGGUCGAGGCUCAGCGGCUGACCGUGAAGAAGCACAGAACUGAUGAUCGCUCCUAUUAUUCCUGGGGUAAGGAGAUAAACAGGCAAUGCCCCUUUGGAUUCUCAGUGGGGGACCAAUCCCCGGGUAUUUCCAGUUCCACACAUGAAGGCCAGCUUGUCCCCAACCUUGAGACCUCAUCUUACCGGAUGAGCGGGAGCCUUCUGCAACCUGUUUCUGACUUUCUCUUCCCCUGAGGCAGGUGUCCAGGGCAGCCAAUUAAACCUUUUCCAC